CCUACGGGCGGCUGCAGUGGGGAAUAUUGCACAAUGGGCGCAAGCCUGAUGCAGCCAUGCCGCGUGUGUGAAGAAGGCCUUCGGGUUGUAAAGCACUUUCAGCGGGGAGGAAGGCGGUGAGGUUAAUAUCCUCAUCGAUUGACGUUACCCGCAGAAGAAGCACCGGCUAACUCCGUGCCAGCAGCCGCGGUAAUACGGAGGGUGCAAGCGUUAAUCGGAAUUACUGGGCGUAAAGCGCACGCAGGCGGUCUGUCAAGUCGGAUGUGAAAUCCCCGGGCUCAACCUGGGAACUGCAUUCGAAACUGGCAGGCUAGAGUCUUGUAGAGGGGGGUAGAAUUCCAGGUGUAGCGGUGAAAUGCGUAGAGAUCUGGAGGAAUACCGGUGGCGAAGGCGGCCCCCUGGACAAAGACUGACGCUCAGGUGCGAAAGCGUGGGGAGCAAACAGGAUUAGAUACCCCGGUAGUC
This 465-nucleotide ribosomal RNA is filed under the name uncultured Klebsiella sp. Its description in RNAcentral is "bacterial SSU rRNA". It matches the Rfam family "Bacterial small subunit ribosomal RNA", at positions 338 to 795 of the family's 1533-position model. Lineage: Bacteria; Pseudomonadati; Pseudomonadota; Gammaproteobacteria; Enterobacterales; Enterobacteriaceae. The record is from RNAcentral.